This 448-nucleotide ribosomal RNA is filed under the name uncultured Sulfuricurvum sp. RNAcentral's name for it is "bacterial SSU rRNA". It matches the Rfam family "Bacterial small subunit ribosomal RNA", at positions 936 to 1382 of the family's 1533-position model. Lineage: Bacteria; Pseudomonadati; Campylobacterota; Epsilonproteobacteria; Campylobacterales; Sulfurimonadaceae. The record is from RNAcentral.
AGCAUGUGGUUUAAUUCGAUGAUACGCGAAGAACCUUACCGGGUUUGACAUGCAGGUGAUCGCCGUUGAAAGACGGUUUCCUCUUCGGAGGCACCUGCACAGGUGCUGCAUGGCUGUCGUCAGCUCGUGUCGUGAGAUGUUGGGUUAAGUCCCGCAACGAGCGCAACCCUCGUCCUUAGUUGCUAACAGUUCGGCUGAGCACGUCUAGGGAGACUGCCUUCGCAAGGAGGAGGAAGGUGAGGACGACGUCAAGGUCAUCAUGGCCCUUACGGCCAGGGCUACACACGUGCUACAAUGGGGCGUACAGAGAGCUGCGAUACCGCGAGGUGGAGCCAAUCUCUUAAAGCGUCUCUCAGUUCGGAUUGUUCUCUGCAACUCGAGAACAUGAAGCUGGAAUCACUAGUAAUCGCAGAUCAGCUAUGCUGCGGUGAAUACGUUCCCGGGUCUU